ACAAUAAAAGAUCAGUUCAAAGUAAUGGCCCAAAUGAAAAAUUAAUCCAAAAACAUGAGAUGAAAGAAAAUUAAUCCCAAAACAACACAACACUACAUCAUAAUCAAAUAAACAAUAACAUUCUUAAUUUCUUAUCCACCAAAUAUACAUGCAAUUGACACCUAAGUCAGAAGAUCCACAAACUAUGCUCCAUCUUGGUGAUGAGGGAGUAUGGUGUGUUUGAUUCCUGGAAUAAACUCAGUGUUGUACCAGUUGAAAGCACUAGUAAUAUCAUUGGUUUUACCAAGUAUGAUUUACUUCUAAUUCGAAAGAGGCCCCGGCUGGUCUACACCAACAGUGAAUUAGAGAGGGAAGAUAAGUCUGUUUUAAUUGACCCCGAAACUUUACAUGAGAAUGAAAUUAGUAUUCCAGUUGAUAUCUAUUCAAAUUUAGCUACUCACAUGGAGAGCCUUGCUUUACUUGAUGGAGAAAAUGUGGUAGCUUACUAAGAUGAUGGUGCUAUGUUGUAUAAGAAGUGAUAUCAUUGCAGGUAUGGAUGAAUUGAAUCCCUUCUCUUGCUUUUCUUUGUUGCAAUAGGCUAGAGUUUAAUUUAAGAUGUGGGAGAGCUGCAAGAUUGAAAAGAAAGAAUGUUUUCUAGAGAGAGAAGCAAAACAGGAAUGCAACAAAGAGGAAGUGAACUCAAAGAUGGAAGGAGGUGAGAACUUUGAUCAGAUAAAUGGGAUAUCUUCUACAGAAAGCAUUGAUGAUGGUGGAAGCCCACCAUCAAAGCAGCAGCAACAUAAGAAGAAGAAGCCUAUGCACUGUUCAGAAAUUUUGGAUGCCUACUCAAGAAGAAGGGUACUAGCAGCCAUAAGUAGAGAAAUAGACCAGUUUGGCUUAACUUCUACCCUACUAGCAGGCAGCUAUAUUUGGUAUUAUUGCACCUAAAUGUUUUUACUUCAUUGUUUAUGUUCCCAGAAAACAGAUAGGUUAAAGAAAUGAAGAGGCUUGUAUUAUGUUUUUAGUUUUUUCUUCUAUUUCUUUUGCUUUUAAUGUGAUUCCUCACGUGGGACAGUAUCUUGUAUGUAAGGGAGAUUUUUUUUUACCUUCA
Long non-coding RNA from Quercus robur (English oak), 1090 nucleotides. RefSeq lists it as uncharacterized. NCBI's taxonomy places the organism in Eukaryota, Viridiplantae, Streptophyta, Magnoliopsida, Fagales, Fagaceae. The transcript has 2 exons. The record is from RefSeq and is a predicted model, not a curated record.